ACUCGUCUGGGCGAGGGUAAAUAGUAAUUAGGCCCAGAGCGUCCCGGCAGUUGCCGGGGGUUUAG
This 65-nucleotide ribozyme is filed under the name unclassified sequences. Its description in RNAcentral is "pistol ribozyme". It matches the Rfam family "Pistol ribozyme". The record is from RNAcentral.